This 350-nucleotide ribosomal RNA is filed under the name uncultured Streptococcus sp. RNAcentral's name for it is "bacterial SSU rRNA". It matches the Rfam family "Bacterial small subunit ribosomal RNA", at positions 1032 to 1382 of the family's 1533-position model. Lineage: Bacteria; Bacillati; Bacillota; Bacilli; Lactobacillales; Streptococcaceae. The record is from RNAcentral.
UGACAGGUGGUGGCAUGGUUGUCGUCAGCUCGUGUCGUGAGAUGUUGGGUUAAGUCCCGCAACGAGCGCAACCCCUAUUGUUAGUUGCCAUCAUUCAGUUGGGCACUCUAGCGAGACUGCCGGUAAUAAACCGGAGGAAGGUGGGGAUGACGUCAAAUCAUCAUGCCCCUUAUGACCUGGGCUACACACGUGCUACAAUGGUUGGUACAACGAGUUGCGAGUCGGUGACGGCGAGCUAAUCUCUUAAAGCCAAUCUCAGUUCGGAUUGUAGGCUGCAACUCGCCUACAUGAAGUCGGAAUCGCUAGUAAUCGCGGAUCAGCACGCCGCGGUGAAUACGUUCCCGGGCCUU